RNAcentral lists this ribosomal RNA (480 nucleotides) under uncultured bacterium. Its description in RNAcentral is "partial 16S ribosomal RNA". It matches the Rfam family "Bacterial small subunit ribosomal RNA", at positions 28 to 507 of the family's 1533-position model. The record is from RNAcentral.
GAUGAACGCUAGCGGCAGGCCUAACACAUGCAAGUCGAGGGGUAGAAGGAGCUUGCUCCUUUGAGACCGGCGCACGGGUGCGUAACGCGUAUGCAAUCUACCUUGUACAGGGGAAUAGCCCAGAGAAAUUUGGAUUAAUGCCCCAUAGUAUAUAACCUUCGCAUGUUGGUUAUAUUAAAGUUCCAACGGUACACGAUGAGCAUGCGUCCCAUUAGUUAGUUGGUAAGGUAACGGCUUACCAAGACGAUGAUGGGUAGGGGUCCUGAGAGGGAGAUCCCCCAGACUGGUACUGAGACACGGACCAGACUCGUAGGGGAGGCAGCAGUGAGGAGUAUUGGUCGAUGGUCGCAAGACUGAACCAGCCAUGCCGCGUGCAGGAAGACGGUCGUAGGGAUUGUAAACUGCUUUGAUACAAGAAGAAACCCUACCACGUGUGGGGGCUUGACGGUACUGUAGGAAUAAGGAACGGCUAACUCCGUG